AGUACAUCUGUUAAUUAUGCUGAGCUUUCGUUUGUGGAAUUAAGUCUUACCAUCUUGGUGUCUUAGAUAUGUGGAUCACACUCAGGGAAUCUCAGGGACUCAUCUUUACCUGUUGCUGGCUCUCAAAAUCUUCUCUUCAGCCUUUACAACUCAUCAAGUAUUCUGCUGUCGGCAUUCUCCAGUAACACCACCCCCUCUCUGCACUCGAUCUUUUGGCUGCCUGUGACUGCUCAUAUCAAAAUCAGUACAGGGGUGCUGCUGUACACUUCUCGAGGAGUUUCCAUUGAACAGGUCUGGCAUCGUGCUGAUACAUAAACUGACAACAGUCACAGCAACCAUGAUCACCGACAGGCAGGCAAAGAUCUUCCCUGCAGCGCUCCAUGUACGCCAUCUCCACGCCCCAGUAGGUCAGCUCGUCGUGCAGGGAGAGGAUGCACAUCUCUCGUAGCAGUCGGAGUUUCCCUGCAGCCAAGAAGUUGAGGAUAACCCUAAAGG
Long non-coding RNA from Oreochromis aureus, 495 nucleotides. RefSeq lists it as uncharacterized. Lineage: Eukaryota; Metazoa; Chordata; Actinopteri; Cichliformes; Cichlidae. The transcript is spliced from 5 exons. The record is from RefSeq and is a predicted model, not a curated record.